AUUGUUUCCUCCACCACCUUUUCUUCUUCCUUCUUCUUGUAGGUCACGUUUGACACUUAAACAGAAAUAAAAAUAGAGUUAAGAAAACUAAGAGCAAACCUCUUUAUAAAAUUUGUACGAAUUAUUUUGCAGACUGUACGUCAAUUUACAAAACUUAUUAAUAGUAAUUCUUUAUCAAGUCUGGUGAUGCUCCAAUACCUCUUCAGGUUGCUCAGGUCAUCUCAACUUAGAAAGGAAAUAUGGAUCGGCUCUAAAUUUAUCGGAUGAAUAUGGGUGUUUCUUAAUCUUAGGACAAUGAUAUAUUAGCAAUUUAAAAAUUUUUAGGGCAUGAGGGCCGGUGAGAUGAGUUAUCUUGCUGAGUUUGAUGAAUUAAAUGAUAAGAUCGGAUCGAGAAUCAAAUUUAUUUAUUUAUUUUUUCGGUACACCGGUGCUCAGAAUACAGCCAAAAAAAAAUUUAUUUGUUUUAAAGAAGAGGAAGAGAAGGCAACGGGGGGAGGGUGGGAGUGACGGCGGGUCGUCGUUUCGAGCUUGCAUGCCCAAUCCGCCGAUUUUCUCUCUUCGGCGCCUGGUCUCAAAUUCAAGUUUCGUUUUGCCGCGGUUUGUUUCUUUCGUUCCGUUUCUUUUUUAAUUGAAUUGCCUAGCUGAAUCCUUGAAGAAGGGGAGGAGAUCGAUAGGAAUACCAUGGCCACCAGCAGCAAGCCUGCCUUCGACGGCCAGUCGCUUGAAGAGUUCUUCGCAUCCUUCGCCUACAAAGGAGGAGGCGGAGGACAUGACGAUGGUAUCAGGAAGGGGAACAGCAGCAGCGGAGGAGGAGGAGGAAGGGUUGAUAAAAGAGUAGGACAGGGAUGGCGCCUACUUAGCCCUAACAACAGCAGCAGCAGCAGCAGCAACAACAACAACAAUACUCCUCCUCCUCCUCCACCACUACCAUCAUCGUCGCUCCAGGGCACUACCAAUAGGAAGAAUCCUCGACGGCCUGUUGCCUGCCGAGUUCAUUGAAUCCUUUGCCUACAAAGGAAGAAGGGUUGAUGGUAGAAUAGGAAAGGGAGAAGACCUCCUUAGCUCCGGCACUCCUCCUCCACCGCCGUCUCUCAGGAAUAGGAAAAGGAAGAUGACAGCCGCCUCCACCACCACCGCCAGACGGGUCACCCGUUUCUUCCCCUGUCCCGGCGAGAGGGUUGUCGUCGUUGAUGUCAAGAAAGAUAUCACUGGGAAGGCGAAAGCCUCUUCCGGUGGCGCGACCGCCAGGAAGAGGCCAAGGACGACGGGCAACACAGGCAGCACGGAUGCAAACAGGCAGCCGCAGAAACGCAGCAAGGGGAGGAGAAAACGGCGCAGCAUCCAGCUAUCUGCUGAGGAGAAGUACUCGGACGCCUACAGGAGAGUCAGCGAUCACGAUGUGUGGGAUGCUCCGCGGUCGUCCCACACCCUCCUGCAAGAAACUGAAGAAAGACACUGCUUCGAUCCGUGGAGGGUCCUGGUUAUAUGCAUCCUGCUCAAUGUAACAACGGGCGAUCAGGUUCGAGAAGUAUUGUCAGGUUUUUUUCCUUCUGUUUCCUGAUGCAAAGUCUGUGAAGGAGAAUCUCAAGGAGCAGAUAGCGGAUAAGUUGUGGUCCUUGUGGAGCCUGGGCUUGCAGUGGAAGCGCGCUCAGUUGAUCAUUGAUCUUUCUGAAAGUUACUUGAAAGGUGACUGGACUCAUGUGACCCAGCUCCCUGGCAUUAGCAAGCAAGCUGGAACAGGUGAAACCCAAGACCAUAAAUUAGUUGAAUACUGGAAGGAAGUUGGCGAGAUGUUAUGCGGAAAAAGCUGACCUUCCCCAGUCCUUUUGGAGCUUAGUUUUAUGUUUGUAAUGGUGGAUGUUUUGUUUACUUUUGAGCUGCCAGUAGGCAUGAACGCUCGACAGCCAGUUACAUCUGAGUUCUCUUUUUUGAUGUAAUGAAUGACAAGAGGUAUGCAUCUGGUUUGGCUUUAUCUAGUUUUGUAAGCGAUGAUUUCUUGCGUCUAUGGUUCAAGUUAACGAUUGUCUC
Molecule: non-coding RNA, 2028 nt
Organism: Phoenix dactylifera (date palm)
Lineage: Eukaryota; Viridiplantae; Streptophyta; Magnoliopsida; Arecales; Arecaceae
Source: RefSeq, a predicted model, not a curated record